This 415-nucleotide ribosomal RNA is filed under the name Cassava witches'-broom aster yellows phytoplasma. RNAcentral describes it as "bacterial SSU rRNA". It matches the Rfam family "Bacterial small subunit ribosomal RNA", at positions 747 to 1171 of the family's 1533-position model. Lineage: Bacteria; Bacillati; Mycoplasmatota; Mollicutes; Acholeplasmatales; Acholeplasmataceae. The record is from RNAcentral.
UGAGGCACGAAAGCGUGGGGAGCAAACAGGAUUAGAUACCCUGGUAGUCCACGCCGUAAACGAUGAGUACUAAAUGUUGGGUAAAACCAGUGUUGAAGUUAACACAUUAAGUACUCCGCCUGAGUAGUACGUACGCAAGUAUGAAACUUAAAGGAAUUGACGGGACUCCGCACAAGCGGUGGAUCAUGUUGUUUAAUUCGAAGGUACCCGAAAAACCUCACCAGGUCUUGACAUGCUUCUGCAAAGCUGUAGAAACACAGUGGAGGUUAUCAGUUGCACAGGUGGUGCAUGGUUGUCGUCAGCUCGUGUCGUGAGAUGUUGGGUUAAGUCCCGCAACGAGCGCAACCCUUAUUGUUAGUUGCCAGCACGUAAUGGUGGGGACUUUAGCAAGACUGCCAGUGAUAAAUUGGAGGAA